This is a non-coding RNA of Nerophis lumbriciformis (worm pipefish), 2265 nucleotides long. The record is from RefSeq and is a predicted model, not a curated record. NCBI's taxonomy places the organism in Eukaryota, Metazoa, Chordata, Actinopteri, Syngnathiformes, Syngnathidae.
AAUUUAGUGUUGCCAAUCAACUUAUCCCCAGGUGCAUGUCACCUUUUGUUUUCAUAAAGUACUUGAUUUUAUCACAUUAUUUGAGCUGAAAAUAUUUUAUUGUCAUGGCAGAGAGACUGUACUUAACCGGACGUGACGUCACAAGAAACUACGCCACAAGAUGGCAGAAAUGUGACAUGAAGUAUGUCUGGCUGCCGUAAAACCUUAGUCGAAGUGGGGGGGAAAAGGCACCUCAAUAAAAGGGCUGUUCGAAAGAACGAUAGCGUCGUACGAGGAGGAACUUGAACGAACGAUAGCAUCAUACGAGCAGGAACUUGACAAAACAAUAGCGACCUACGAGGAGGAACUUUCUCGCGCAGGAGAGGAGAACAAACGGAAACUCCAACAACUGGAAGCUGUUUACAAGACGCAACACGUUGCAGAACCGUGCAGCCCCAGUGAAGAGGAACCACACCCUCAGCCGCAGGGGGGAAGCCCUACCUUGGAGCAGAAAGAUCCACAGCCCCGCCAUAUCAAAGAGGAACAGGAGGACGUUUGGCCCACUCUGGAAGGACAGUGUCUUCUUACGGGUGUCUCCGUAAAGACUGAAGACGAAACACAAGCAGACAGCUUCUUAGCUCCACUAUCGGACAGUGACGACACAACAUCACACUCUCCUGAGGCUGAAGACCAGGACAACGCCCAAGAACCUUUGAGCAGCGAUAUAGACUUUGAAGGUGAAAUGAGGACUCACACAGACAUAAAACACUCCGAAUUCUCUGAAAAAAAGACACAGAGGAAAUGUUUAAUCUGCUCAAUUUGUGCUAAAAGCUUUCCUUACGAGAGCCAUUUGACUCUACACAUGCGGACACACACUAGAGAAAAACCCUACAGUUGCUCAGUUUGCAGUAAAGGAUUCUCUCAAAAGGGAAAUAUGGUAGCACACAUGACAACGCAUACAGAAGACAAACCUUUUAGUUGCUUAGUUUGUGAUGAAAAAUUCUCUCGAAAGUCAUAUAUGGUAUUACACAUGAGAACUCACACUGGAGAAAAACCUUUUAGUUGUUCAGUUUGUGGUCAAAGAAUAUCAAGAAAGUCAAAUAUUCUGUCACAUAUGAGAACGCACACAGGUGAAAAACCAUUUGGUUGUUCUUACUGUGAUAGAAGAUUCUCUCAUAAGAUAUCAGUGGUAAAACACAUGAAAUCACACAUUAGAAAAAAAGUUUGAUGUCUACGUUUUUGGUGAAAGUUAUUCUUGUUUGACAGCAUACAUCUCACGACAGAAUAAUCAUUUUCCUGGCUAGUGCUGAAAUCAUAAAACUGUAAUGUCACAAUACCGUAAAUUCCGGACUAUAAGCCACUACUUUUUUCCUACACUUUGAACCCUUGGCUGAUAAAACAGUGCGGCUAAUUCAUGGAUUUAUCUUUGCUGACGGCCAUGUAAAUAGUUAAAAAAAAAUACCAAGCAAACACACUGAAAAAGUGUGUUAUUGUUUGUGCUAUGGUGCUAUCCUUUGGGUGAGCUCGCUCACUGCAGGUGCUUUCAUCCGGAAGUAGAAUUGCCGUUCUCUCUUCAAGUCGUCCGUAGCAUUUCUACUCGUAUGGAUUCUUCAUUCAUCACUCCAAGCAACGUUUUACAAUAUAACUAAAACUGUUUAUACUUACUAAACCGUCCCAUGUGUGAAGUCUAGGAGGGUUUUCAUGCAUAUUUGUAUUGGCAACACUAAAUUGUACCUAGUGUGUGAAUGUUGUCUGUCUAUCUGUGUUGGCCCUGCGAUGACGUGUCGACUUGUCCAGGGUGUACUCCGCCUUCUGCCCGAAUGCGGCUAAUAUAGGCUCCAGCACGCCCCGCGACCUCGAAAGGUCAGCGGUUGAAAAUGGAUGGAUAUGUGGGUUAAUUCAAUAGGAAUAAUUUUUAAUAAUGUAUUUUAUUAUCAUUUCAUGGACACAGUGUUGUGUCCAUGAAAGAUUACAUAACACAUUAUGACAGAAACUUUGUAAAGACAAGCAUAAAAAUAAAACGUGGAUGGUUUGACUGUUCUUUCAGAUCAAAGUUGUCUGGUUUUAAAUGAUGACACAAAGUCUCUCCUCCCAAGUGCUGCUGCUCAUGUGUGCCUCCUCCAUCGUGUACAAACACAAACAAAUCCAUCUGAACAAGUCUCUGUUCUCUAUAUUUAUGUAGCUCCAUCUCAGGUACACUGCAAAUUAUUUGCCACAAGAUUUAAAAAAAAAAAAAAAAGGUUUGAGGAAUGCUCCUAUAUUUUUUAAAAGCUAUGUACUUACUUU